Molecule: long non-coding RNA, 875 nt
Filed under: Numida meleagris (helmeted guineafowl)
Lineage: Eukaryota; Metazoa; Chordata; Aves; Galliformes; Numididae
Description: lncRNA (ENSNMEG00000006758.1)
Source: RNAcentral
UACCGACCCGGCUCUGCGGCCGCCGCAGGGAAAUUGCCUCUGGCAGACAACAGUCCUCCAGUGCCAGCCAGCCUGGUGGGAGAUGGACACCCCACUAUUCCACAGAAGUGAGCCUGCUGCCACUGUCCCCUGCCACUCAGGGGCUAGUUCUCAGCUCUAGUUCACCUUCCUCCGUACUCCCCCUUAGCAGAGGUUGCUCCCUUUCCUUGCCUUUUAGAUAUUGAAUUAAUGCAAUUAAUUCAGGUCCGAUAGGAAAAAGGAACCUCCCUCCUGUUACCCAAAGUCACAAGCUAGCAGCCUCACCAUCCAUAGAAUCCAUCACCUCUCCAGGCUUACAUCCCACCACUGGUUCUCACGCUGCUCCAGGGUCUCUAGGAAGACUUGACCAUUGCUUCUUGUCACCCCCAACGCUUCUUCCUCAACACUUCCUCCCACUGCUCCUUUACCCAGUGCCGGAGCACCUCUGACAAAACACACCUCUCACCUCCAAGAAACACCAAAUGCUCCCCACAACCCAAACCUACAAGCACACAGCAUCCACCUGGUCCAGUUCUUCUGCUGCAGUACAGACCACAGAGAGGAAAAUCUUUGGAUAUGGAACACAGUGAGAGGAAGGAUGGGAAGUAGGGAAACCAAGAAUAAACACAGACUUCCCUCUACCAACUCUGCAGAAUUCAGGGAAAAAUAUUAAUAUAAAAGGCUCUCUAACAGUGUCACUGAGUACGGGAGUACCCUUGGCAUCUAGGCACUGUCAAAAAGCUAAAGGAAUUUGUUGGUCUUUGUCUCCAGCUGAGCUCUGAAUAGUUUUUCACCUUUUUAUUUUUUUAAGUUUUUUACAGUUAAACUUGUGCAAACACUGACUAUUAUGUAGUGAA